RNAcentral lists this long non-coding RNA (246 nucleotides) under Monodelphis domestica (gray short-tailed opossum). Its description in RNAcentral is "lncRNA (ENSMODG00000042405.1)". The record is from RNAcentral. Lineage: Eukaryota; Metazoa; Chordata; Mammalia; Didelphimorphia; Didelphidae.
CCCAGAAGAUCUUACUUCAUCCUUUAAUUCUGACCUUGUGGGUAUCAACCCGCCUCAUGUGUGUUUCUUGAAGACAACAUAUGGUAGGGUUUUAGAUUCUAACCCAUUCUGCUAUUCAUCUACGUUUUAUGGCAUUCAGUUGCACUCCAGUAGAAGCAGAGAUGGUAGUGGAUCAUGGAAGAAACCAGAAAAGAUUCCCUAAGAAGAUGACUAACCAAAUAUUAAUAUCCAUUGGUCAGUGUGCCU